This 265-nucleotide ribosomal RNA is filed under the name uncultured bacterium. RNAcentral describes it as "partial 16S ribosomal RNA". It matches the Rfam family "Bacterial small subunit ribosomal RNA", at positions 793 to 1055 of the family's 1533-position model. The record is from RNAcentral.
GUCCACGCCCUAAACGAUGUCAACUAGGUGUUGGGAGGGUAAACCUUUUAGUACCGGAGCUAACGCGUGAAGUUGACCGCCUGGGGAGUACGGCCGCAAGGUUAAAACUCAAAGGAAUUGACGGGGACCCGCACAAGCGGUGGAUGAUGUGGAUUAAUUCGAUGCAACGCGAAAAACCUUACCUACCCUUGACAUGCCAAGAACUUUCCAGAGAUGGAUUGGUGCCCGAAAGGGAGCUUGGACACAGGUGCUGCAUGGCUGUCGU